This 327-nucleotide ribosomal RNA is filed under the name Rheoptilum arni. Its description in RNAcentral is "partial 12S ribosomal RNA". The record is from RNAcentral. Lineage: Eukaryota; Metazoa; Arthropoda; Insecta; Ephemeroptera; Baetidae.
AUUAAUACGCCCCUAACCACCCCCUGAGUAGUACCAGCGAUCUUUAAACUCAAAGAAUUUGGCGGCACUCCCCCCUAUUAGAGGAGCCUGCCCCGUAAUCGACGACCCACGCUCCCACGCACCCCCAUUAACAGUUUGUAUACCGCCGUGUAGGGCGUGUUUCAAAACACGCCCCAAAUGAACUUUUUAAAAACCUCAGGUCAAGGUGCAGCUUAUGUGGGGGAGGAGGUGGGCUACACUAACCUUAAUUAUACGGAGUACGCGUCCAAAACUAAUAUGAAGGUGGAUUUAACUGUAAGCCCUAUUUUCCUAGCGCUGAUUAGGUUC